RNAcentral lists this ribosomal RNA (506 nucleotides) under uncultured bacterium. RNAcentral describes it as "bacterial SSU rRNA". It matches the Rfam family "Bacterial small subunit ribosomal RNA", at positions 11 to 509 of the family's 1533-position model. The record is from RNAcentral.
GUUUGAUCCUGGCGUCAGGAUGAACGCUAGCGGGCAGGGCUUAACACAUGCAAGUCGAGGGGCAGCGUGGAGUAGCAAUACUCCGACGGCGACCGGCGAAAGGGUGAGUAACGCGUGAGCAACGUGCCCGGUAUUGGGGGAUAGUCGAUGGAAACGUCGCGUAAUACCCCAUAACAACAGAGGCCGCAUGACUUCUGUUUGAAAGAUUCAUUGAUACCGGAUCGGCUCGCGUACCAUUAGCUAGAUGGCGGGUAACGGCCCACCAUGGCGACGAUGGUUAGGGGUUCUGAGAGGAAGGUCCCCCACAUUGGAACUGAGACACGGUCCAGACUCCUACGGGAGGCAGCAGUGAGGAAUAUUGGUCAAUGGCCGAGAGGCUGAACCAGCCAUGCCGCGUGCGGGAGGACGGCCCUAUGGGUUGUAAACCGCUUUUGUAGGGGAGCAAUAAGUAUUACGUGUAAUACGAUGAGAGUACCCUGCGAAUAAGCAUCGGCUAACUCCGUGCC